This is a transfer RNA of Pseudozyma hubeiensis SY62, 139 nucleotides long. It matches the Rfam family "tRNA". Rfam says of the family: Transfer RNA (tRNA) molecules are approximately 80 nucleotides in length. The record is from Rfam. NCBI's taxonomy places the organism in Eukaryota, Fungi, Basidiomycota, Ustilaginomycetes, Ustilaginales, Ustilaginaceae.
GGCUGGUUGGUGAAGUGGUUAACACACUGGUUUUAGGCUAUAUGCGAUCCUGACCAAUUUGCAACGUUGCAAAUGUACAUCUUGUUCGACCCCUCCUAUCAUACACCAGGAUUCCUGGGUUCGAUCCCCAGACUAGUCA